GGAGAACCCAGAGUUCCGUGUUGUGAGAAUAGUAAAUUUGAUCACCUUUCUGGGUCCCCAGCUUCCUUAUGCAGAACGCAGGUUAUCACCCUGGAAACACAUGCCUGGCACUUGGACAUUUGUAUGCCUCAGGACACUCCUGGAUAGCUGACACAAGAGGAAACCAUUUCCAACUGCUGCUAUGGUUUCUCUCCCUUCUUCCUCUGAAGCACUACAGCACUUUCAAAGUAAAGAUUAUAGAAUAAGGUAAGAUUUUACCUAGUUUUAUCAUUGUACAGCCUAUUGCUAAAAAAGAUGUAUUACAUUUUUUU
RNAcentral lists this long non-coding RNA (311 nucleotides) under Fukomys damarensis (Damara mole-rat). RNAcentral's name for it is "lncRNA (ENSFDAG00000033355.1)". Lineage: Eukaryota; Metazoa; Chordata; Mammalia; Rodentia; Bathyergidae. The record is from RNAcentral.